RNAcentral lists this ribosomal RNA (253 nucleotides) under uncultured bacterium. Its description in RNAcentral is "partial 16S ribosomal RNA". It matches the Rfam family "Bacterial small subunit ribosomal RNA", at positions 524 to 776 of the family's 1533-position model. The record is from RNAcentral.
GACGUAGGAUGCAAGCGUUGUCCGGAUUUAUUGGGCGUAAAGAGUUCGUAGGUGGUUUGUUAAGUCUGGUGUUAAAGGCGCGGGCCCAACCCGUGUACUGCACUGGAUACUGGCAGACUUGAGUAUGGUAGAGGCGAGCGGAAUUCCUGGUGUAGCGGUGAAAUGCGUAGAUAUCAGGAAGAACACCAGUUGCGUAAGCGGCUCGCUGGGCCACAACUGACACUGAGGAACGAAAGCUAGGGUAGCGAAUGGG